GCCGUCGUAGCUCAAUCGGUAGAGCGGCUGUUUUGUAAUCAGUUGACGGGGGUUCGAUUCCCUCCGACGGCC
This 72-nucleotide transfer RNA is filed under the name Planctomycetota bacterium. Its description in RNAcentral is "tRNA-Thr". It matches the Rfam family "tRNA". From Rfam's summary of the family: Transfer RNA (tRNA) molecules are approximately 80 nucleotides in length. Their secondary structure includes four short double-helical elements and three loops (D, anti-codon, and T loops). RNAcentral also lists the same sequence under 1 other name. The record is from RNAcentral. Lineage: Bacteria; Pseudomonadati; Planctomycetota.